AAAGCGGGACGGGCGGUCGCUGCUCAUUUUGAGUGGAGGAAAGUCCGGGCUCCAUCGGACACGAUGACGGAUAACAUCCGCCGACCGUAAGGUCAGGGAAAGUGCAACAGAAAGGAUACCGCCGGCAAACCGGUUAUUUUAUAAAAUAGAUGUAUCGGCAAGCCGGUAAGGGUGAAACGGCGAGGUAAGAGCUCACCGCGAUUCGGGUAACCGAAUCGGCAUGGCAAACCCCAUCGGGAGCAAAGUCAAACAGGAUCAAGGCUGUCCGAGCCGUUAUCAGAUCCGGGUGGACUGCUUGAGGAAUCGGGUAACCGGUCUCCCAGAUAAAUGAUCGCCGCUCCGGUUUUUUCAACCGGAGAACAGAACCCGGCUUACAGUCCCGCUUCUUUU
RNAcentral lists this RNase P RNA (390 nucleotides) under Planctomycetaceae bacterium. RNAcentral describes it as "RNase P RNA component class A". It matches the Rfam family "Bacterial RNase P class A". From Rfam's summary of the family: Ribonuclease P (RNase P) is a ubiquitous endoribonuclease, found in archaea, bacteria and eukarya as well as chloroplasts and mitochondria. Its best characterised activity is the generation of mature 5'-ends of tRNAs by cleaving the 5'-leader elements of precursor-tRNAs. Cellular RNase Ps are ribonucleoproteins. Lineage: Bacteria; Pseudomonadati; Planctomycetota; Planctomycetia; Planctomycetales; Planctomycetaceae. The record is from RNAcentral.